UACAAAAAGGAGUAGACUGAGAU
Molecule: non-coding RNA, 23 nt
Filed under: Cricetulus griseus (Chinese hamster)
Lineage: Eukaryota; Metazoa; Chordata; Mammalia; Rodentia; Cricetidae
Source: RNAcentral